Molecule: ribosomal RNA, 118 nt
Filed under: Lepisosteus oculatus (spotted gar)
Lineage: Eukaryota; Metazoa; Chordata; Actinopteri; Semionotiformes; Lepisosteidae
Source: RNAcentral
GCCAGCACCCAUAUCACUCUGCAACUCACAACUGGCAACCCACUGAGCUAAACAGGUGUGAGCCUGGUCAGUACCUGGAUGGGAGACCUCCUGGGAAAAUCUAAGGUUGCUGCUGGAA